RNAcentral lists this ribosomal RNA (371 nucleotides) under Thraustochytriidae sp. RNAcentral's name for it is "Thraustochytriaceae sp. partial small subunit ribosomal RNA". It matches the Rfam family "Eukaryotic small subunit ribosomal RNA", at positions 582 to 975 of the family's 1831-position model. The record is from RNAcentral. Lineage: Eukaryota; Bigyra; Thraustochytrida; Thraustochytriidae.
AUUCCAGCUCCCCUUUCGACUCCUCCUUCUGCUGCCGUUCCCCCGCUCGUCGUUGACCUUCUGGUAGGACAGAUCCGGCCUUUGGAUGAAUGUCCAUUGUAUGCUGUGUGUCUUGUCUGGCCAUCCUUUAUGUCUUUUAGGCGUAAUCUUUCACUGUAAAAAAAUUAGGGUGUUUCAAGCAAAAGUUAUUUGGAAUAUAUUAGUAUGGGAUGAUAAGAUAGGCUCUUGAGUGCUACUUUGUUGGUUUAUACACUUAGAGAAUGAUUAACAGGGACAGUUGGGGGUAUUCAUAUUUACAUGUCAGAGGUGAAAUUCUUGGAUUUUGGAAAGAUGAACUACUGCGAAGGCAUUUACCAAGGAUGUUUUCAUCA